Molecule: unclassified non-coding RNA, 608 nt
Filed under: Hevea brasiliensis (rubber tree)
Lineage: Eukaryota; Viridiplantae; Streptophyta; Magnoliopsida; Malpighiales; Euphorbiaceae
Source: RNAcentral
GGAAGAUGGUGCAACAUGACCUUUUAUGUAUAAAAAGAGACAGAAGAUUAAGCUUCCAAAAUUUAGUGUAGAGAGAAUCUCUCCCAGAUGAUCAUACACGAUUGUAGGAUUGAAUAUUCCAAACCACCAAAGGCUGAGAUAGGUAAUUAGUGUCACUGUAUAUGCUGCCAUGCCAUUUGCCUUAUAGACAGGCCUGUGUCCAGUAGGAGAUAUCGGUCCUUCAACCCUUUUACCAGGCAACAAAAGCUGAAGUGUAGCCUCAAAUAGAGCAUAGCAAAUUAUUAUUUUUCCCGCAAUUGCAGUGGGUCUUGGCCAAAUGUCAAUUAGUCCUUGCAGGCCAUUCUCCUUUAGAUAAUUAUAUGUUUGCAAUACAGAUCCAUCAGCAUGAACAUUUGUAUACCACAUGAGAAUAACAAAAGGGGGUACUAAAGUGAGCAGAGUGAUCAUUGAGAUAUAGGUGAAUAAAGGAGGGUGAACCAACUGAGACUCCGCCAUUGCUUCUUCCUCCCUCCCUGUUCUCUGCACCUCUUCUUGUUUUUGAAAAACUAAAAGAUAACUCGGCCACUGCUAAUUUUGUUGAUUAUAAAUUACACACACGCACACUGGAC